ACGGCCGCAACCAAUAUAAAUAUUAUUUUAUUAUGACACACCUUCGGGCUUGAAAAUCAUUUGUAAGAGUUUUGACCUAAAGCUUAUCAACUACUACCAGUCGUACAUUGUAUAAAAUAAACCCAUCUUAUAUAUGCCAGGUUUAAAUUGCAUUCGUUAUUUAUGAUUAUUUAAUAGAAGUCGGUUUAUUUGUGUAUCUCCACACUGGAUUUCAUGAAUCAAUAGGUAACCAUAAAACUGCUCGAUACGUUUCUGCAUUAUUUCAAACUUAUAUUUGCUACGGACAUGAUGUGUUUGCGUGAUCAUGAGUGGAUCAGUUGAUCAGGUCAAGGUAAUUUUAGUCUGACGUAUGGAGGAAAGUGUGUACAUUUUAUAUUACAAUUAGAUGAUCACGUGGUUAUAUACCUUAAGGCAACGUGGAUGUCGUCUGCAAACAGGUUUCUUUGUUAUAAUACAAGAUAAUUUGAUGUAUCGCCCACACAACACACUUUCGGAUUUGAUGUGAGUUAAUGCGUUGGUAAUUAAACGUGUGGUUUUCUAAUAAAGAUAAGCUUUUUGCAUACGAGAAAAUUAAAACUAAGUUCUGUCUGUUUAUACAGUUCUCAUUUACUUGCACCGUGAUUAACAAGUUUAACAGUGAUCAAGUUACUAUAUAUAUAGUACAUGUAAGUAAUUCAACAGGGUUUUUAGCAUCCAAAAUUUUAUUUUUUUCUUAUUAGUUUGGUUUAAGUCAAUAAUGUUUACUGUAGCGAAGUUUAAAUUUUAAGUAUAUAUAAGCACCAAAUUAAAUUGUUUAAGAAAAUAUCAUAUAUAUAUAUAUAUACCAGGCUUAAAAUGUUUGCGUUUCGUCUACAAACAACUUAUCUGGCGGAUCCAGAAAGAAGUGGUUGGAACCUAGAUUGGGAUCCCCAUUUGGAAAUAGCUGGAU
Molecule: long non-coding RNA, 928 nt
Filed under: Mytilus galloprovincialis (Mediterranean mussel)
Lineage: Eukaryota; Metazoa; Mollusca; Bivalvia; Mytilida; Mytilidae
Source: RNAcentral